AACGAACGCUGGCGGCAUGCCUAACACAUGCAAGUCGAACGAGACCUUCGGGUCUAGUGGCGCACGGGUGCGUAACGCGUGGGAACCUGCCCUUAGGUUCGGAAUAACUCCCCGAAAGGGGUGCUAAUACCGGAUAAUGUCUUCGGACCAAAGAUUUAUCGCCUUUGGAUGGGCCCGCGUUGGAUUAGCUAGUUGGUAGGGUAAAGGCCUACCAAGGCGACGAUCCAUAGCUGGUCUGAGAGGAUGAUCAGCCACACUGGGACUGAGACACGGCCCAGACUCCUACGGGAGGCAGCAGUGGGGAAUAUUGGACAAUGGGCGAAAGCCUGAUCCAGCAAUGCCGCGUGAGUGAUGAAGGCCUUAGGGUUGUAAAGCUCUUUUACCCGGGAUGAUAAUGACAGUACCGGGAGAAUAAGCACCGGCUAACUCCGUG
This 433-nucleotide ribosomal RNA is filed under the name uncultured bacterium. Its description in RNAcentral is "partial 16S ribosomal RNA". It matches the Rfam family "Bacterial small subunit ribosomal RNA", at positions 29 to 507 of the family's 1533-position model. The record is from RNAcentral.